GAAAUUUAUUCUGCAUCUAUGCAGGUAACAUUUCUGCUUAGUCUGUACUUAUAUAAAUUGAAGGUGAUCAACAAGCAAAGAUAUUUAAUAAAGUUGUGAAUUAUCUGGCUUAAUUCGGGCUGUCAUUUCCAAUCCUCGACUAAAGUUUUCUCAUUUUUCUUUGCUUGAAAAGGAUCCUUCCUUUCCUUCUCUAUAUUUCUUCCUUUUUUCCCCCUCCAUUUUCUAUUUAAACUUUUAUUUAAGCAGAGUCUGCAAGAGGACAGUUAAUUGGCUUGAAGUUUUAAAAUCCAACUUGGAGGUUCCAAGCUGGAUGGUUGGGGGUUUUGUGGUAUAGGAGGGUAAGCUACUCCAUUGUUUAGUUGAAGACCUAAUUGAAUGAAGAGUAGAAAAGUAGGAAAUAACUCUUUCCUUAAGGCUUAAAAUUAAUGUGGUUAUUCUCUAGUGCUAGUUUAACUUCCUUAAUCAGCAUUCCUUACAUUUGCACUUUUCUGACCUCUAGUUAUGUGGAGUUCGAGCUAAU
Molecule: unclassified non-coding RNA, 520 nt
Filed under: Hevea brasiliensis (rubber tree)
Lineage: Eukaryota; Viridiplantae; Streptophyta; Magnoliopsida; Malpighiales; Euphorbiaceae
Source: RNAcentral